RNAcentral lists this ribosomal RNA (253 nucleotides) under uncultured bacterium. Its description in RNAcentral is "partial 16S ribosomal RNA". It matches the Rfam family "Bacterial small subunit ribosomal RNA", at positions 524 to 776 of the family's 1533-position model. The record is from RNAcentral.
UACGUAGGGUGCAAGCGUUAAUCGGAAUUACUGGGCGUAAAGCGUGCGCAGGCGGCUUUGCAAGACAGAUGUGAAAUCCCCGGGCUCAACCUGGGAACUGCAUUUGUGACUGCAAGGCUAGAGUACGGCAGAGGGGGAUGGAAUUCCGCGUGUAGCAGUGAAAUGCGUAGAUAUUCGGAGGAACACCAAUGGCGAAGGCAAUCCCCUGGGCCUGUACUGACGCUCAUGCACGAAAGCGUGGGGAGCAAACAGG